Molecule: ribosomal RNA, 468 nt
Filed under: uncultured bacterium
Lineage: Bacteria
Description: partial 16S ribosomal RNA
Rfam family: Bacterial small subunit ribosomal RNA
Source: RNAcentral
GACGAACGCUGGCGGCGUGCUUAACACAUGCAAGUCGAACGGAAAGGCCCUGCUUUUGUGGGGUGCUCGAGUGGCGAACGGGUGAGUAGCACGUGAGUAACCUGCCCCUGACUUUGGGAUAACUUCAGGAAACUGGGGCUAAUACCGGAUAGGAGCUCCUGCUGCAUGGUGGGGGUUGGAAAGUUUCGGCGGUUGGGGAUGGACUCGCGGCUUAUCAGCUUGUUGGUGGGGUAGUGGCUUACCAAGGCUUUGACGGGUAGCCGGCCUGAGAGGGUGACCGGCCACAUUGGGACUGAGAUACGGCCCAGACUCCUACGGGAGGCAGCAGUGGGGAAUAUUGCACAAUGGGCGGAAGCCUGAUGCAGCAACGCCGCGUGCGGGAUGACGGCCUUCGGGUUGUAAACCGCUUUCGCCUGUGACGAAGCGUGAGUGACGGUAAUGGGUAAAGAAGCACCGGCUAACUACGUG